Molecule: long non-coding RNA, 1111 nt
Organism: Brassica napus (rape)
Lineage: Eukaryota; Viridiplantae; Streptophyta; Magnoliopsida; Brassicales; Brassicaceae
Exons: 3
Source: RefSeq, a predicted model, not a curated record
AGGAUGUUAACUCGAUGAAAACGACGGUCUUUUUUGCCACAGUCUCUAUGAAAAAAGAAAAUUGUAGCAUGUCAAAUAUCAUCAAUAUCUUCAAAUGUAUUGGAGAAGUUGUUCGUGUUCGACUUAUAGUAGACCACAGGGGUGAGUCUCUGGGCUGUGGCUUUGUUGAGUUUGCUUCUGCUGAGGAAGCAAAGAAGGCUGUGCAAGAGAAGAGUGGUUGUGCUAUUUAUGUCAAGGUGGCCGAGAAAGCUCCAUACUUUUUCCGACCCAAGUAAAGCGAUUUUCCAUAUGGAAAUUUGUUUCUCUAAACCUAAUGCUAUAGUUUUUAUGCCAUAUCCAGAAAGAUUAACGUUAUCAACUUUUGUUAAUUAGGUGCAACCUUGCAGACCUUGCGGAGAAGCUUUGGUAAGAGAUUUAACUAUUUACCUUUUUUGCUUUUUAUUAUCAAAACCACAUUUGUGAAGUUUUUGGGUAUAUAUGACAAUGGUUUUUGAUAUUAUUCCAGGUAUGAAGACAAGCUUCGACGAGAAGGCUUUGGUUUGCCGAGCAAAUCGGAGCUGAGGAAAGAGGAGGCAGUCUUCUGCGGUAAUAAGAUUACCUUCUCUGACAAAGACUGAUCGAAGAAGAAGAUGAAGUUCUUUGGUGUCUAUAACUUGUGAUACAAUCCAACCUUUAUAUUUUUCUUAAAAUAUUUUCUGUGAUGUAAGAUUUCUCAGUGCCUCCAAACACAAGUCAUGUCCUUUUGUUAGCAAAGACAGCAAUUUCAAAGCCUUUGUACAAAACAAAAAGUUGGGUGAUUACACUAGGCCUUCUAAUCUGAAUUUCUUGUUGCUGACAUGUUUAUUGUUUCCUAAAUUCACAGUCGAGACUUGAUGUAUCCGACAAAAGAAGUCAUUUGUAUUGGGCUAAUAUGACAGACAAUGGUAUGUCCCAAAGUUUUUGGGAACAACUUUAUGUAUGUGUCAGGCUUUGAAUCAUGGUAUCAUUUCUCAUCAUCAUUUGUUAAUCCAUAAUUACACAACUAAUAUUUACAUAAAUGUUUUUAUCACUAAAAGUAAGAUAAAGGACUAUAUGCAUGCAUUCAAUGGUGUUUGGCUUAGUAUGACCAAAA